UGAGGGUUGAUAGGUUAAGAGCUGAUUGACUGGACGUUACCCACAGAAGAAGCACCGGCUAACUCCGUGCCAGCAGCCGCGGUAAUACGAGGGUGCGAGCGUUAAUCGAAUUACUGGGCGUAAAGAGUGCGUAGGUGGUUAAUUAAGUUAUGUGUAAAAUCCCUGGGCUCAACCUGGGCAGGUCAUAUAAUACUGAUUGACUCGAGUAUGGGAGAGGGUAGUGAAUUUCCGGUGUAGCGGUGAAAUGCGUAGAGAUCGAAGGAACACCAGUGGCGAAGGCGGCUACCUGGCCUAAUACUGACACUGAGGCACGAAAGCGUGGGGAGCAAACAGGAUUAGAUACCCUGGUAGUCCACGCCGUAAACGAUGUCAACUAGCUGUUGGUUAUAUAAAAAUAAUUAGUGGCGCAGCAAACGCGAUAAGUUGAC
This 428-nucleotide ribosomal RNA is filed under the name uncultured Legionella sp. RNAcentral describes it as "bacterial SSU rRNA". It matches the Rfam family "Bacterial small subunit ribosomal RNA", at positions 438 to 869 of the family's 1533-position model. The record is from RNAcentral. Lineage: Bacteria; Pseudomonadati; Pseudomonadota; Gammaproteobacteria; Legionellales; Legionellaceae.